AUGGAGCAAGUUGGGCAUGGCGAUCGGGUAUCAGACUUGACGUUGAGGCCCUGCAGGUUCCAGGCGUCCAUGUACUCCAUCCUCCACUCUUCCCGUAGCUCCGCAGAAUCGCGGCACCACUGCCUGGAUUUUGUGCUUCAGAAGGCGUCCGUAAGUUCGGGGAGCUCAAACGGACUUGAUCGACACAGACGUACAACAGGCAAUCUGUCGAACACCGCGCGUGCAGGUGCAGGUGCAGGAAGAGGGGGAGCUGACCUGCAGACGAGGGAGCAGCUGAGGAGGUCGACGCAGUCCAGCUGCGAGAAGACCCGGGAGAUCACGUCCGCCGGCGCCCGCAGCGCGGCCGGCGUGGCGAGGUCCCCUUCGUUCGGUGGCGGCGGCGGCGGCGCCAUGGCCGAUCCGUUGUCCCAAGAAAGCCCAGUUCUUGGAUUGGCUCUAGAAAUCCUGGAGCUGUCGUCUCGUCUUCUCCGCGUUUGA
RNAcentral lists this ribosomal RNA (477 nucleotides) under Triticum aestivum (bread wheat). RNAcentral describes it as "partial small subunit ribosomal RNA". The record is from RNAcentral. Lineage: Eukaryota; Viridiplantae; Streptophyta; Magnoliopsida; Poales; Poaceae.